Molecule: long non-coding RNA, 2939 nt
Filed under: Physcomitrium patens
Lineage: Eukaryota; Viridiplantae; Streptophyta; Bryopsida; Funariales; Funariaceae
Description: long non-coding RNA (PPAT_LNC000900)
Source: RNAcentral
GUUUGGUUUAGGGUUUAAGAUUUGGAUUAGGAUUUUAUUUAGGAUUUAGGAUUUGGUUAGGAUUUGAUUUAGGAUUUAGGAUUUGGAUUUGGAUUUGGUUUAGGAUUUUAUUAGGAUUUUAUUUAGGAUUUAAGAUUUGAUUAGAAUUUGAUUUAAGAUUUAGGGUUUACUUAGGAUUUGGUUUAGGAUUUAGGAUUUGGAUUAGGAUUUGGUUUAGGGUUUAGGAUUUGGAUUAGAAUUUGGUUUGGAUUUGAUUUAGGAUUUAGGAUUUGGUUUAGGAUUUGGUUAGGAUUUGGUUUAGAAUUUGGUUGAGGUUUGGUUUAAGGAUUGUUUAGGAUUUGAUUUAGGGUUUAGGAUUUUAUUAGGAUUUAAGAUUCAAUUAGUUUUGGCCUAAAGUUUGAAUGAAGUUCAAUAGAAUUUUAACUAGAAUUAAAUUAAGAUUGAAUUGAGAUUUAUUUAAGUGAUAUUUGUGAUCAUUCUAAUAUUUCUUUAUGAAUUCUUAUUGUUUGUUUGAAAUUUCUAUAAGAUUUUUUUGAAUUUGAUUAAGCUUGCUCAGCAUUAUUAUGGUCUAAUUAGAGCAUUUUUAGUAUGCUAUUAGAAUUAAGAUUUUGUUAUUGCAAUUUCCAUUCUUCCUUCUACAGCCAAGUGCCCGGAGCAUUCUCAAGCAAGACUUCACGUAUUACAACACCAUGAUAGCGAUCGAUGUUAUUAAAAAAAAACUUAGCAAUUUCUUCACCUAUAAUAGAUAUUUUACAUGGUACAAAAUAUGCCAUCUUUCUAAAACAAUCUACUACCACAAAUAUAAAAUCAUGCAAAUCUGAGACUGAAAGAUCCAUGAUAAAAUCCAUAGAAAUAGAAGACUAUAAUUGUUUUAGAAUAGAUAAUGGCUAAAGAAGUCCAUAAGGUUGAUGGCAAGGAAUUUUAGAUCUUUAACAAAUAUUAAAUAAUUAUAUAAAAUCUUUGAUUACUUUUUAUAUUCGAAGCCACCAAAAAUCUCUUGAUAUUAGUUCCAAGGUCUUGUUGCAUCCAAAAUAUCUGAUUGCUAGAAAAUCACGAUGAGUUUGAAAUAGACAAAAUUAUGCCCCAUCUUUUAGAAUGUUUAAGCAUCCUUUAAAAUAGAGUAGGUUGUUCUUAAAUUCAAACUUAGAAGUAUCAUGAAACUUAGAAGAAUUAUUCUUGAUAUCAUUGAUAAGAGGAUUAGAGUACAUACUUAAUUGAAUUUGAUUCUUCAAGAUUGAAACAAUAGUCAAUGUUGAUUUUAUUUCUCAAAGGUGAAAAUGCUUUGGCUUUAAGAAAAUUAUUCUUUAUUAAUCAAAAGAUGUAUCUCUUUUUUUGGUACAAGAUAAGAAUGUUUGAAAAAAGCAUCCAACAAACCUUAUUAUUUUUUGCAUUGAUAUGAGAUCUUCAAAUCAAAUCCUGAUAAAGACAUGUUCUAAUGAGCUUGCGAAUGAUUCAAAAUAUAUGCCAACAUGAAAUACUUGAGGUUCUUGUGAUUUGUAUACAUGGUGCUUUAAUGAAACAUGACUAAUAGGUGAAAAUGAUGAAGAAUUUAUAAUAUUAUAAAAGAUCUUAUUUCAAAUAUUGUAACAAAUUAUCUUAGAAAAUAGACAAUAGUCUAAAAGAAAGUAAAACUAAAGACGUAAAUGCUACCAUUUUACAAAAUAAGCUUCUACUUACUUUAUAAGACCAUAAAUAAGGCAAAAAAGAUAGAUUAAAAAAAUCAAGGAUAUAAACAUAUGUAGGAAGAAGUUGAAAGUUGAUUUUAGCAAAAAUUAACUCAAAAGGAUAAAAUUUGAUACUUGAAGAGGACUUGUUAGCAUCCUAGGUUGAAAUCACACUCCAAAGCACAAAAUUAAGAACCUACAAUAACUCAAGGGUUCUUUUAUACAUCAAAAAGUAGAAUUAGAUAGAAAUUUUUUAAAAAAAAAAUAAGCAUUAAUUUUAAAUUAUUUAAGUAUGUAAUAACUUUACAAGAGAUUUGUAAAGUCAUAAUUAUUUUGGAUGACUCUAGAAUUUGUGAAAUAAAAAGAGUAUUAUGUUUUGGAUAAUUUUGUGAGUUUGGUAGUAGAUCUAUAAUUCAAAUUAUAAGAACUUAUGAGACUAGUUGUUUAAAGUAUAUAUUACAAAUUUAAGCUUAAUUAAAUAGUUGAAUUGAAGGUUAUUGAAUUUCAAAUAGAUUGAGGUCUCAAAAAUUGGACUUUGAAAGGAAAUUAGGAUUUUUAAGAUCUUUAACAAUCUACUAGUUGGAUUAGAAUAGAAUUUGUAUAUAAAGAUAACAAACUUAAUUUGCUAUACAUAUAUAAAAUUUGCGAAAAAUUAAAUAGUAUAAAAAAGAGAUAUUGGUGCUAAAAAUUCAACAUUCAGAUUGGAGUAGGAGGCCGGCCUAUAUCCAAGCGGAUUUUAGGAUUUUUCUUCCAUUUGAUAAGUGCAAUUAUCUUCAAAUUUUGUGUGCUUAUUGCUAAUUUAGUUUUUGAAAAUUGUGUAAAUUUUUAAGCAAGACCAAUAAUUUAAUUAAUAGAUAAUGGGAUUCUAAAUAAUACCAGGAUUAGAUUGAGUUAAUUAAGGUUUGGUUAGGAUUUAUUUUAGGAUUAGGGUUUGAUUUAGGAUUUGAUUUAGGAUUUAGAAUUUGUCUAGGAUUUGAUUUAGGAUUUAAGAUUUAUCUAGGAUUUGAUUUAGGAUUUAGGAUUUGUCUAAGGUUUAAUUUAGGAUUUAGGAUAUGUCUAGAAUUGGGUCUAGGAUCUAGAAUUUGGUCUAGGAUUUAGGAUUUUUUUAGGAUUUGGUUUAGGAUUUAGUAUUUAUCUAGGAUUUGAUUUAGGAUUAAGGAUUUUUUUAGGAUUUAAUUUAGGAUUUAGGAUUUAUUUAGGAUUUAAUUUAAAGUUUAGAAUUUGUUUAGGAUGUGAUUGAAGUCCAUUAAAAUUUCAAUGAAGAUUAAAUUAGAA